UACGAAGGGGGCUAGCGUUGUUCGGAAUCACUGGGCGUAAAGGGCGCGUAGGCGGCUGUUCAAGUCGGGGGUGAAAGCCUGUGGCUCAACCACAGAAUUGCCUUCGAUACUGGACGGCUGGAGACCGGAAGAGGUCAGUGGAACUGCGAGUGUAGAGGUGAAAUUCGUAGAUAUUCGCAAGAACACCAGUGGCGAAGGCGGCUCACUGGCCCGGUACUGACGCUGAGGUGCGAAAGCGUGGGGAGCAAACAGG
This 253-nucleotide ribosomal RNA is filed under the name uncultured bacterium. RNAcentral's name for it is "partial 16S ribosomal RNA". It matches the Rfam family "Bacterial small subunit ribosomal RNA", at positions 524 to 776 of the family's 1533-position model. The record is from RNAcentral.